This 1044-nucleotide long non-coding RNA is filed under the name Nicotiana tabacum (common tobacco). RNAcentral's name for it is "long non-coding RNA (NTAB_LNC016246)". The record is from RNAcentral. Lineage: Eukaryota; Viridiplantae; Streptophyta; Magnoliopsida; Solanales; Solanaceae.
CCCAAACGGCACCCAGUACUGUUCCUCCAUCUCCCUCAUCCGAACCAGCCCCAAACUCGCUUGAAACUCACACGAGUUACACCUAACACUCGGCUCAUGCGCUCCCCCCUUCUCUCCUCUUGCCAUAUAUUAUAACGGUUUUUGACACCAAGAAGAUUCCCUCCCUCACUCGCCCGUUUUCAUGCUAUAUCACGUGAUUGGAAGAUUUUGGAAGACGAGCGUUGGAUGAGUGAGAGAAGUCGGAUCGAUUUCAUUCAAUCCGCGCCUCACAUUCAUCAUGUGCUUGUUUUCAAAGGGACCUUAUCUGAUUUUUUGAAGAGAGAAAAAAAGAAUCUAGAGGGAAGGAUAUAAAAGUAUUUUCAGAGUAAGGGAAAGAGGAGGAUAUUUUUCUUUAGAGAUUUUCGAAAAAUCAGGAGAGGUAAAAGUUCUAGGGUUCUUUGAGUUUUCUUCAGAUUUUUGACGUUUGGUUUGCAUUUCAGAAAAACAAAAAUACAAAUGGUUUGAGUUUAAUUUUUGUUCGAGUUUUGUUUCAUUUCAAAAGAAAUCAGAAAAUUACCAAAACUUCCAGCACUUUUUUUUAUUUCUGGUCCUUAAGAAUGGAGUUUGAUUGAAGUUUAAGUUAGAGUUUGUGUUUGGUUUCGGAAUUCUGAUGUCGUUUUUGAGUUAUAUCCGAGUUUUUGCGAUUUGGUUUGGCUUGCGAUUUCUGCUCGAUAUUGUUGUUGUUUUCAGUUGGAAUUUUUGGGGCAAAACAUCGUAAUCUUCUGUUAUCAGUGAAAGAAUUUCGAAUUAACAAGUUCAUCUCUUCUCCCUUCACUUAAUCUGAUGCGUUAUGGGUUAAAUUAAUAUGUGCCAUUGGGUUUACUGAUUUCUUCUUAGUUGGUUAUCCUAUUUUGGCUGUAGGUUUCUUCCUCGUUUUCUUCUGUUGAUUUCUGCGAGUGUUCAAGUGGAUCCUGAACUUGAUUGGGCUUGUGGCUGCUAUAGCACUAUAUGAUGAAUCUAUGUUUCACUGUUUGACACACUCCAUGAAAUGAAGUAGUAUUCUGC